UGAGGACAAGAGCAAAGCGGGAGGCCCUCAGGACAAGGACAAAGAGAGACGCCUUGAGGACAAUGCCAAAGAGGGACGCCCUCAGGACAAUGCCAAAGAGGGACGCCUUGAGGACAAGUCCAAAGAGGGAGACCUUCAGGGCAAGACUGAAGACGGGCGUCCUGAUGUCAAGACCAAAGAGGAAGCCCUUGUUGGUGUGGAUGGACAGGAAAUGCAGAACAAAGACAAAGCUGAGGGACAGCACAAAACGAAAGCCUCAGUGAAGAAGUCAAAGGGGAAGAAAAAGGCGGCAGCACUCAACUCCGGAGUUCCAUCUCUGAAGGUCUGAGUCACACAGGAACGAAGCAGUGGCGAGUUGGAGCUGGUUAUCUUGCAGCACAGACAGCGGAGUGUGUGCUGCACACCGCAGGAUGUGGGAGGCGUGUUUGUGACGAGACCUGCUCCGCUCUACACCUUGGAAAGGCCACUUCCUGCCCCGUGUCACAAAAUAUACACAAAUAGACUUCUUUA
Long non-coding RNA from Clupea harengus (Atlantic herring), 510 nucleotides. Lineage: Eukaryota; Metazoa; Chordata; Actinopteri; Clupeiformes; Clupeidae. The record is from Ensembl.